GGUCCAGACUCCUACGGGAGGCAGCAGUGGGGAAUAUUGCACAAUGGGGGAAACCCUGAUGCAGCGACGCCGCGUGAGUGAAGAAGUAUUUCGGUAUGUAAAGCUCUAUCAGCAGGGAAGAAAAUGACGGUACCUGAUUAAGAAGCCCCGGCUAACUACGUGCCAGCAGCCGCGGUAAUACGUAGGGGGCGAGCGUUAUCCGGAAUUACUGGGUGUAAAGGGAGCGUAGACGGCGAGGUAAGCCUGAAGUGGAAGCCCGCGGCCCAACCGCGGAACUGCUUUGGGAACUGUUUUGCUGGAGUAUGGGAGGGGUAAGCGGAAUUCCUGGUGUAGCGGUGAAAUGCGUAGAUAUCACGCAGAACUCCGAUUGCGAAGGCAGCAUACCGGCGCCCGACUGGCGCUGAGGCACGAAAGCGUGGGGAUCGAACAGGAUUAGAUACCCCUGUAAA
This 449-nucleotide ribosomal RNA is filed under the name uncultured bacterium. RNAcentral describes it as "bacterial SSU rRNA". It matches the Rfam family "Bacterial small subunit ribosomal RNA", at positions 328 to 794 of the family's 1533-position model. The record is from RNAcentral.